Non-coding RNA from Biomphalaria pfeifferi, 220 nucleotides. NCBI's taxonomy places the organism in Eukaryota, Metazoa, Mollusca, Gastropoda, Planorbidae. The record is from the annotation of a GenBank genome assembly.
GCCUCAGCAAAAGAUUUCUAGCUGUCUUUUUCCGAAGCCGCCUGUAACCAGGUGCUCUCUUCUAUGUCAGUUAAAGGAAUUAUGCGUGCCAUAUGCGUAUUUUGAUUAGAUAUACAAUUUUAUUGGCCUAUCUAGAAUCUAAAUUUCUAUUUACUAGAAUCAAUUUGCCUCAUACAGAUCUAUAUAAACUAGAUCUAGAUCCUCAACUAAGACAGGUUAU